Molecule: ribosomal RNA, 497 nt
Filed under: uncultured bacterium
Lineage: Bacteria
Description: partial 16S ribosomal RNA
Rfam family: Bacterial small subunit ribosomal RNA
Source: RNAcentral
GAUGAACGCUGGCGGCGUGCCUAAUACAUGCAAGUCGAGCGAACAGACGAGGAGCUUGCUCCUCUGACGUUAGCGGCGGACGGGUGAGUAACACGUGGAUAACCUACCUAUAAGACUGGGAUAACUUCGGGAAACCGGAGCUAAUACCGGAUAAUAUAUUGAACCGCAUGGUUCAAUAGUGAAAGACGGUUUUGCUGUCACUUAUAGAUGGAUCCGCGCCGCAGUAGCUAGUUGGUAAGGUAACGGCUUACCAAGGCAACGAUGCGUAGCCGACCUGAGAGGGUGAUCGGCCACACUGGAACUGAGACACGGUCCAGACUCCUACGGGAGGCAGCAGUAGGGAAUCUGCCGCAAUGGGCGAAAGCCUGACGGAGCAACGCCGCGUGAGUGAUGAAGGUCUUCGGAUCGUAAAACUCUGUUAUUAGGGAAGAACAAAUGUGUAAGUAACUAUGCACGUCUUGACGGUACCUAAUCAGAAAGCCACGGCUAACUACGUG